UGACAUCUAUCUGUUCUAUGUUAUGUUGU
This 29-nucleotide non-coding RNA is filed under the name Mus musculus (house mouse). The record is from RNAcentral. Lineage: Eukaryota; Metazoa; Chordata; Mammalia; Rodentia; Muridae.